GAUGAACGCUAGCUACAGGCUUAACACAUGCAAGUCGAGGGGAAACGACAUCGAAAGCUUGCUUUUGAUGGGCGUCGACCGGCGCACGGGUGAGUAACGCGUAUCCAACCUGCCCAUCACUUGGGGAUAACCUUGCGAAAGUAAGACUAAUACCCAAUGAUAUCUCUAGAAGACAUCUGAAAGAGAUUAAAGAUUUAUCGGUGAUGGAUGGGGAUGCGUCUGAUUAGCUUGUUGGCGGGGUAACGGCCCACCAAGGCAACGAUCAGUAGGGGUUCUGAGAGGGAGGGUCCCCACAUUGGAACUGAGACACGGUCCAAACUCCUACGGGAGGCAGCAGUGAGGAAUAUUGGUCAAUGGGCGAGAGCCUGAACCAGCCAAGUAGCGUGCAGGAAGACGGCCCUAUGGGUUGUAAACUGCUUUUAUAAGGGAAUAAAGUGAGAGUCGUGACUCUUUUUGUAUGUACCUUAUGAAUAAGGACCGGCUAAUUCCGUG
This 492-nucleotide ribosomal RNA is filed under the name uncultured bacterium. Its description in RNAcentral is "partial 16S ribosomal RNA". It matches the Rfam family "Bacterial small subunit ribosomal RNA", at positions 28 to 507 of the family's 1533-position model. The record is from RNAcentral.